GACGAACGCUGGCGGCGUGCCUAAUACAUGCAAGUUGAGCGCUGAAGGUUGGUACUUGUACCAACUGGAAGAGCAGCGAACGGGUGAGUAACGCGUGGGGAAUCUGCCUUUGAGCGGGGGACAACAUUUGGAAACGAAUGCUAAUACCGCAUAAAAACUUUAAACACAAGUUUUAAGUUUGAAAGAUGCAAUUGCAUCACUCAAAGAUGAUCCCGCGUUGUAUUAGCUAGUUGGUGAGGUAAAGGCUCACCAAGGCGAUGAUACAUAGCCGACCUGAGAGGGUGAUCGGCCACAUUGGGACUGAGACACGGCCCAAACUCCUACGGGAGGCAGCAGUAGGGAAUCUUCGGCAAUGGACGAAAGUCUGACCGAGCAACGCCGCGUGAGUGAAGAAGGUUGUCGGAUCGUAAAACUCUGUUGGUAGAGAAGAACGUUGGUGAGAGUGGAAAGCUCAUCAAGUGACGGUAACUACCCAGAAAGGGACGGCUAACUACGUG
This 497-nucleotide ribosomal RNA is filed under the name uncultured bacterium. Its description in RNAcentral is "partial 16S ribosomal RNA". It matches the Rfam family "Bacterial small subunit ribosomal RNA", at positions 28 to 507 of the family's 1533-position model. The record is from RNAcentral.